Molecule: long non-coding RNA, 1310 nt
Organism: Cotesia glomerata
Lineage: Eukaryota; Metazoa; Arthropoda; Insecta; Hymenoptera; Braconidae
Exons: 2
Source: RefSeq, a predicted model, not a curated record
CAUAUACACCGUUUAUUCACUGUUAAUUUACAGUUUAGAUACUGUAUAAUAAUAGUAUAAUCACAGUUUAUCAACCGUUUAUUAACCGUUUACGAAUGGAACAAGUAAAUGGCAAGUAAACGGUUUAUAAACGGUGCUUAAACGGUGUUAUCACGGAUACUGUUUAUAAACGGUAAAUAAACGGUUCGCUCGAGGUUGCAAGGAUACCAGUAAGCGGAUUGUUUCCAAGACGAAAGACCGAAUCCUCUUGAUGAAAAUGAAGAUCCUACUUAUCUCGAUAUUCCUGGCUAUGUUAAGCGCUCCUGUAAAAUCAAGUAUACAAGACAAUGAGGUCGGUCUGCCCGUCAAUUAUGCAAAUAAUGAUCUCGUUAACUACGAUUUUGAUAAGCCAAAAGAAAGCAAUCUGAUCGUGAAUUUUGACACUCCCUACAAGUCCAUCUAACACAGCGUACGCCGAAUGUGGUCCAACGUAAUCACAAAUAACUCAUACUCUAAUUACAUAGAAAAUUUAACUUCCGCAGAGCUGAGACUUUUCCACGGGCCUUGGUUCAUUAAAAGUAAAUACCAAAGCUUGCCGCACAACCUCACUAUUUAUAGGUACAAAAAUGGGAAUCGUAAUUACGUAAACUCCGUAAUCGUUGAGGCUGAUCACUAAGGAUGGAUCGUGAUUAAUAUCGCCAGUCUCGUUCAAUGGUGGAUUAAUCAUCCUGAGAAAAUUGAGGACGUACUGUGCAGGACCAGUCCGAUGAGGAAAGACGGCGUGAUUGCAUGGUCCAUGCUAGGCGAUAACGAAGGCUUUUACUCAAUUGGAGAAUUUGCUGUUGGCUAUAACAACAUCUUGAAUACGAUGAACUUCCGGAGCAAUUUCAAGUACAAGAAAAAUUUUCCGCCAGGAUUUGACGCGUUUAAAAAUCCAGAUUUUUGUGAGAUAGCUUGCCGAUCAAAUAACAUUUUUAACAACUUCAAAACAAUCGGGCCUAAAGGAAUGGAUCAUCUCUACAGAUGGAGUCUGCUGUAGAAUAUUUAUUGUGGUCCGAUGAAAAUAAAAUUAUUUGGAAGAUAAUUUAAAAUUUUCGAGCUUCUGCCUGCGGGUGUCAAUAAUUUUGACACUUACAAUUUUUGUGCACCGUGUUUUAUUUUAUUGAUCUCCAUUGAAGGCUGUAAUUAUUUAUAAGAUUUAGGGGUUUUCUUAGUAUGUUUUUUGUGAACGUAAUAAUUUUUGAUGCUAGUAUUAAAUUCUGUAAUUUGAAUCUUGGUAGGUUUAUUUAAUCUAUAUUAUUAAGAGAAUAAAAUUGGUUCUUUUAGUGAAA